AGCGAACGCUGGCGGUAGACCUAACACAUGCAAGUCGAACGGCAACACAGUAAGUGUUUGCUCUUACGGGUGGCGAGUGGCGUACGUGUGAGGAAUACAUCCGACUCUACUUUUUCGUGGGGCUUAACGUAGGGAAACUUACUCUAAUACCGCAUACGCCCUUCCGUUGUAAGCAGUGGAUCUUCUCACCUUGUGCGGUUGGAUGAGCCGAUGUCGGAUUAGCUAGUUGGCGGGGUAAAGGCCCACCAAGGCGACGAUCCGUAGCAGGACUGAGAGGAUGGUCAGCCGCACUGGAAGGGAGACAGGGACCAGAGGCCUGAGGGAGGCAGCAGUGGGGAAUAGGGGGCAAUGGGGGGGAGCCUGAGCCAACCGGACCGCGUGGGUGGAGAAGACGUUCGGGUCGUGAAGACGUUUUGUGGGGAAUGAAAAGCAGCAGGUUGAGACGAAGCGGGAGUGACGGUACCGAAAAAAGAAGCACCGGCUAACUACGUG
This 492-nucleotide ribosomal RNA is filed under the name uncultured bacterium. RNAcentral describes it as "partial 16S ribosomal RNA". It matches the Rfam family "Bacterial small subunit ribosomal RNA", at positions 30 to 507 of the family's 1533-position model. The record is from RNAcentral.